GAGCGCUCGUAGCAAUACGAGAGCGGCAGACGGGAGAGUAACACGUGGGAACGUACCCUUCGGUUCGGAAUAACCCAGGGAAACUUGGGCUAAUACCGGAUACGUCCGUAAGGAGAAAGAUUUAUCGCUGAAGGAUCGGCCCGCGUCUGAUUAGCUAGUUGGUGGGGUAACGGCCCACCAAGGCGACGAUCAGUAGCUGGUCUGAGAGGAUGAUCAGCCUCACUGGGACUGAGACACGGCCCAGACUCCUACGGGAGGCAGCAGUGGGGAAUUUUGCGCAAUGGGGGAAACCCUGACGCAGCAACGCCGCGUGGAGGAUGAAGUCCUUCGGGACGUAAACUCCUUUCGAUCGGGACGAUUAUGACGGUACCGGAAGAAGAAGCCCCGGCUAACUUCGUG
Molecule: ribosomal RNA, 399 nt
Filed under: uncultured bacterium
Lineage: Bacteria
Description: bacterial SSU rRNA
Rfam family: Bacterial small subunit ribosomal RNA
Source: RNAcentral